CCUACGGGUGGCUGCAGUAGGGAAUAUUGGUCAAUGGGCGAAAGCCUGAACCAGCCAUGCCGCGUGUCAGAUGAAGGUCCUCUGGAUUGUAAAUGACUUUUCUACGAGAAGAAUGAGCCGUCUGCGGACGGAAGUUGACGGUACCGUAGGAAUAAGCACCGGCUAACUACGUGCCAGCAGCCGCGGUAAUACGUAGGGUGCAAGCGUUGUCCGGAUUUACUGGGUUUAAAGGGUACGUAGGCGGUUGUGCCAAGUCUGGGGUGAAAGUUUGCAGC
This 275-nucleotide ribosomal RNA is filed under the name uncultured bacterium. Its description in RNAcentral is "partial 16S ribosomal RNA". It matches the Rfam family "Bacterial small subunit ribosomal RNA", at positions 338 to 608 of the family's 1533-position model. The record is from RNAcentral.